This 1114-nucleotide ribosomal RNA is filed under the name Paraclostridium bifermentans. Its description in RNAcentral is "partial 23S ribosomal RNA". It matches the Rfam family "Bacterial large subunit ribosomal RNA", at positions 403 to 1524 of the family's 2925-position model. Lineage: Bacteria; Bacillati; Bacillota; Clostridia; Peptostreptococcales; Peptostreptococcaceae. The record is from RNAcentral.
UGAUCCAGAGUACCACGGGACACGUGAAACCCUGUGGGAAGCAGGAGGGACCAUCCUCCAAGGCUAAAUACUACUUAGUGACCGAUAGCGCAUAGUACCGUGAGGGAAAGGUGAAAAGAACCCCGGGAGGGGAGUGAAAUAGAACCUGAAACCCUGCGCUUACAAGCUGUGGAAGCACUUUAUAUGUGUGACCGCGUACUUUUUGUAGAACGGGCCAACGAGUUACGAUAGUAAGCUAGGUUAAGUACUUAAGGUAUGGAGCCGUAGUGAAAGCGAGUCUUAAAUGGGCGUUAAGUUUGCUGUCGUAGACCCGAAACCGAGCGACCUAUCCAUGAGCAGGAUGAAGCGAAAGUAAAAUUUCGUGGAGGUCCGAACCCACGAGCGUUGAAAAGCUCGGGGAUGACUUGUGGAUAGCGGUGAAAUUCCAAUCGAGCUCGGAGAUAGCUGGUUCUCCCCGAAAUAGCUUUAGGGCUAGCCUCAAGGUUGAGAAAUACGGAGGUAGAGCACUGAAUAUCCUAGGGGGCAUUGCGCUUACCGAAGAUUAUCAAACUCCGAAUGCCGUUAUUUUAUACUUGGGAGUCAGACUGUGGGUAAUAAGAUUCAUAGUCGAGAGGGCAACAGCCCAGAUCGUCAGCUAAGGUCCCUAAAUGUAAGUUAAGUGGUAAAGGAUGUGGGAUUGCAUAGACAACCAGGAUGUUGGCUUAGAAGCAGCCACUCAUUUAAAGAGUGCGUAAUAGCUCACUGGUCGAGUGAUCCUGCGCCGAAGAUUACCGGGGCUAAAACUUACUACCGAAGCUACGAUAUCAUUUAUGAUAGGUAGGGGAGCUUCCUAUGCAGGCUGAAGCAUGACCGUAAGGACGUGUGGACAGUAUAGGAGUGAGAAUGUUGGCAUGAGUAGCGAGACGUGGGUGAGAAUCCCACGGGCCGUAAACCCAAGGUUUCCAGGGGAAGGUUCGUCCGCCCUGGGUUAGUCGGGACCUAAGCCGAGGCCGAAAGGCGUAGGUGAUGGACAACAGGUUGAGAUUCCUGUACCACCGAUAAUCGUUUGAGAGAUGGAAUGACACAGUAGGAUAAGCUAACCACACUGUUGGUUAUGUGUGGCUAAGUACUGAGG